Molecule: long non-coding RNA, 2857 nt
Organism: Acinonyx jubatus (cheetah)
Lineage: Eukaryota; Metazoa; Chordata; Mammalia; Carnivora; Felidae
Exons: 4
Source: RefSeq, a predicted model, not a curated record
GCGUGUGUAUGUGUGUGCGCGCGCGCGCGCGAACGCGCCCUCGCGAGCCUGCCCUAAGCGUGGCCCGGAGGGCACGUGCUGUGCGUGCCGUGGGCCCGCGGUUAGGCGCCCUGCGUGGGCGCGUGCGCUGCCGCAGUGCCAGCGUUGUGUGGGCGUUGAGACGUGGUCGAGAGGCCCUGGUGUCAGACCUGCCUCCCACGAAUUCCAGUUAAGGCUAGCUCUGUGGCCUGGGACAAAUUGCUAAACCUCUCUGAGCCUGUUUCUGCUUCGGGAAGCAUCGCAGCGGGGAAGUCAUGCACAGCCCUCAGCCGCUGCCUGCGCCUGGCUCUGUGCUCCUGAGUCCUGGAAUGGUAACUGUGCCUUCGGUACACCCGGAGGGGCCUGGAAAGCGAGCUCAAGCCCAUUUUACAGCUGGAAAGGGGCCCGUGCAGGCCAAGUGACUCAAGGGGGUUGGGGGAUUCCACCUGCUCCCAGCCAGUCUCCAACCUUCAAGGUCCAGGUGCUGGGGUUGGGGCCCAGGGGACAGGGGACCACGUUAAACACAACCCUUGAGGAUGCAAUCCACAAACUCCAGGCUGUGGGAAUCUCGACGGGACAAACCACCCAGUUUCUUCAACAAAUGCAUUUCGGGGGAAAAAGCAAUGGGAAGACCACAGAUUAAAAGAAAGUCCCAGCUUCCCAACCUUUCCCUGGGGAGCGCACCUGCCCUUCCCCGGGGGUCACAAGCAGCCCCGAGAACAACCGUAUGCUGUUCAGACCGUUCCACCGCCAGGAUGCUCCCCGCAGAGGAAGCUCACAAGACGGGCAGAGAACUGGCAGUCAGGGGCUGGAGGCAGGCCACAUCGGCCCACACGUGUGUUUUGUUUGGCUUGCAAAGUAUUUUUACAUUUUUGAGCCAACAGUAAAAGGUCAGGUGAUUUCAUAUGAAAAUCCGCAGUUCUGGCUUCUCCCGUAACUUCAGACAAUCUGGCCACAUGGGGUCUGUGUGCCUGGGCAACCGGAGGCUGGGUGGGGGCUGGCGGGCAGCUGUCCCCUUUGGGCAGGCCCUGUGCUUGUGGGUUUGCCACAGACCCCACCGGGCCUUCCAUCGCUCCCUGGCUUGGAGAACCCCUGGACAGCCAGCCGCCCCCAGUUGAAGGGAGAGGGGUCCAGAGGCCAAAUCUCUGGGGCACUUUUUCCUUCCUGCUGGUCUUGACCCUUCAAAAGUGCCCCCGCUGCCCUCGGGGCAAGCCAGGCUCACACAGGACCGCUACGUCCCUGGCACCUCAAGCCAUCCCCUGCCAGCCACCUGGCCCUGCUUCCUACCCACUGCCCACCCCUUGCCCUCCCUGUACACGGAAGGGGAUUCAUCAGUGCUGCUCCGGUGGUCGUUCACAUUGAGACCCGGCCCUGCCCCUGCACAGGGUCUCGGGGAACGGGGUUGGGGCCUAGCUGCAGCUCUGGGGAGGUCUCGGCGCGAGAAUUGGGCUCCAGGCCACGUCCAGGCGGCCACGCAGGCCUUGCCCGUCACCGCCUCCAACGUGGGCUCAGCCAAGGCCACAGAGGGCGCUGGUGGCCUAGUGAGAAAUAGCAGCCAGGUACCCAGAUUUGGGCCGGCCCUCAGUGGAAGAAGACCUUUCACCUCUUUCUGAGCAGGUGACCACCUGUGUUUUGCGGUCUAUAUUUAGAGCCUGAGGAGGACACGAAGAGGGUGUAGCCUGGCCAGGCUCCUGGGUCAUUUCCCGACAUCAACGUCACCAUUCCUGGCCUGCCUGGCUCCCGGGUUGGCCCUCUGUGGGCGGGUGAGCACGCACCUUGGCAGGAGGUGACACACCUGGGCUAAGAGCCUAGGCUUAGCCCCACCUCCUCCGUCACUGGGUUCCUGGGAACCUCCAGGGGCCUCCUUCUCGUCCUCCAAGUCCUCCUCCUCCUCCUCCUCAGGGGGAGGGGGUUUCCCACAGGCUGGAGGCCGAGCUCCGGGUUGGUCAGGAGGCGGAAAAUGAAGCAUCCAGACCUCCCGGAGACCAUCCUGGGUGGAGGGGUGUGAUAUCACUGUCACCCCCAGUCUCUGACCUCACAGGGCGUUACUGUCCCGGGGCAACUAGAACAAAAUACAUCAUCUCCUGGAGCCACGGAAACGGCCCAGGAGGGGCAGGCCGAGGGUUCCAGACCAGCCUGGAGCUUGCUGUGGGGCCUCCUGGGCCUCCCCAGGAAGUGGGCUCUCGCCGCCCCUGACACUGACUCCCGGGGUGUCGGGGGGAGGGGGGUCACUCAGAGGAGCACAGGGCAGCCGGUUCACCCUGAUAAACAGCACCCACACCGGUGGGAGCCGGGGGCCACUCUGACAACGGUCCCCCACUCCUGGAGAGUUUGGGGCCCACCACCCCAGGGGUCGCUGACCCCUGACACUUCUGAAGGCCACCCAGCCACCCUGCGACGGCUGGAGGUGAAGGGAGGAAGGAGGAAGAGGCAGAAAGAGACACAAGUAGAUGGAAAUGCAGACAGAGACCGCAGGGGAGGCCGAAACACAGAGAAUCACGGAGAGGGGAGCCCUGGGAAAGGAAACGGAGUCAGAGGUCGGGUCUCGACCCUCGCAGAGCCCGCGCACACACGGCCGAGGGGGAGCCCCGUAGGUCUGGGAGACUCUCUCUUGAGUUGUGCUCGUCCCUGCUCUGCACCUUCCCGGCCUCAGUUUCUCCAUCAGUAGGAUGGGGUGAUAAUAAUAACGCCACCACCGGGCCCUCAGGAGAGCGGAUGAUAAAACAAUGCCCAGGAGCCCUUGGUAAUCUGAGAAGCACAACAGGAACAGGAGACGCUGGACGCACGGCUCCCCGGCAGCGGCCGCCCAGGCAGGGGGCGGGGGGGACAGGCCGGCCUG